Molecule: ribosomal RNA, 865 nt
Filed under: uncultured bacterium
Lineage: Bacteria
Description: bacterial SSU rRNA
Rfam family: Bacterial small subunit ribosomal RNA
Source: RNAcentral
GACUAACGCUGGCGGCGUGCCUAACACAUGCAAGUCGAACGAGAAAGCGGUAGCAAUAUCGUGAGUAAAGUGGCGAACGGGUGAGUAACACGUAACCAAUCUGCCUUGAAAUGGAGGAAAACUGAGGGAAACUUUAGCUAACCCCCCAUAAUGUGAUUUUGACGCAUGUCGAGAUCAUUAAAAAUUUAUUGUUUCGAGAAGAGGUUGCGUCUGAUUAGCUAGUUGGCGGGGUAAAAGCCCACCAAGGCUACGAUCAGUAGCUGGUCUGAGAGGAUGAUCAGCCACACUGGGACUGAGAUACGGCCCAGACUCCUACGGGAGGCAGCAGUGAGGAUAUUGCGCAAUGGGCGAAAGCCUGACGCAGCAACGCCGCGUGUAGGACGAAAUCCUUCGGGAUGUAAACUACUGUUAGAGGGGAAGAAAUCCCGGUUACGCCGGGAGUGACGGUACCCUCAGAGAAAGCCACGGCUAACUCUGUGCCAGCAGCCGCGGUAAUACAGGGGUGGCAAGCGUUGUCCGGAAUUACUGGGUGUAAAGGGUGCGUAGGCGGGUCGGUAAGUCAGUGGUCAAAUCCUAUAGCUUAACUAUAGACUAUCCAUUGAUACUGCUGAUCUUGAGUGCGAGAGAGAUGAGUGGAAUUCCAAGUGUAGCGGUGAAAUGCGUAGAGAUUUGGAAGAACACCAGUAGCGAAGGCGGCUCAUUAGCUCGUAACUGACGCUGAGGCACGAAAGCAUGGGUAGCAAACAGGAUUAGAUACCCUGGUAGUCCAUGCCCUAAACGAUGAGGACUAGGUAUCGGCAAUUUAUUGUCGGUGCCGCAGCUAACGCAUUAAGUCCUCCACCUGGGGAAUACGAUCGCAAGAUUG